This 447-nucleotide ribosomal RNA is filed under the name uncultured bacterium. Its description in RNAcentral is "bacterial SSU rRNA". It matches the Rfam family "Bacterial small subunit ribosomal RNA", at positions 330 to 794 of the family's 1533-position model. The record is from RNAcentral.
CCCAGACUCCUACGGGAGGCAGCAGUGGGGAAUAUUGCACAAUGGGGGAAACCCUGAUGCAGCAACGCCGCGUGAGUGAAGAAGUCAUUCGUGAUGUAAAGCUCUAUCAGCAGGGAAGAAAAUGACGGUACCUGAGUAAGAAGCCCCGGCUAACUACGUGCCAGCAGCCGCGGUAAUACGUAGGGGGCAAGCGUUAUCCGGAUUCACUGGGUGUAAAGGGAGCGUAGACGGCCAUGCAAGCCUGGAGUGAAAGCCCGGGGCCCAACCCCGGGACUGCUCUGGGAACUGUGCGGCUGGAGUGCGGGAGGGGCAGGCGGAAUUCCUGGUGUAGCGGUGAAAUGCGUAGAUAUUAGGAGGAACACCAGUGGCGAAGGCGGCCUACUGGACGGUGACUGACGCUGAGGCUCGAAAGCGUGGGGAGCAAACAGGAUUAGAUACCCGCGUACC